This 440-nucleotide ribosomal RNA is filed under the name uncultured bacterium. RNAcentral's name for it is "bacterial SSU rRNA". It matches the Rfam family "Bacterial small subunit ribosomal RNA", at positions 958 to 1398 of the family's 1533-position model. The record is from RNAcentral.
AACGCGAAGAACCUUACCUGGGCUCGAACGACUGGUAGUAGUCCGGAUGAAAGUCUGGGCGACCCGCAAGGGAGCCAGCCGAGGUGCUGCAUGGUUGUCGUCAGCUCGUGUCGUGAGAUGUUGGGUUAAGUCCCGCAACGAGCGCAACCCCUAUCCUGUGUUGCUACCCGCAAGGGAGGACUCUCAGGAGACUGCCGCGGAUAACGUGGAGGAAGGUGGGGUCGACGUCAAAUCAUCAUGGCCUUUAUGUCCAGGGCCACACACGUGCUACAAUGGCACAUACAAAGGGAUGCAAUACCGCAAGGUGGAGCCAAUCCUUAAAGUGUGCCUCAGUUCAGAUUGUGGGCUGAAAUUCGCCCACAUGAAGGCGGAAUCGCUAGUAAUCGUAGAUCAGCAGGCUACGGUGAAUACGUUCCCGGGCCUUGUACACACCGGUACUA